CGCGUAGGCGGGAAUAUAAGUCAGACGUGAAAUCCCGAGGCUCAACCUCGGAACUGCAUUUGAAACUAUAUUUCUUGAGGGUAGGAGGAGAAAACGGAAUUCCACAAGUAGCGGUGAAAUGCGUAGAUAUGUGGAAGAACACCGGUGGCGAAGGCGGUUUUCUAUCUUAUUCCUGACGCUGAUGCGCGAAAGCAAGGGGAUCAAAACA
This 208-nucleotide ribosomal RNA is filed under the name uncultured bacterium. RNAcentral describes it as "partial 16S ribosomal RNA". It matches the Rfam family "Bacterial small subunit ribosomal RNA", at positions 568 to 775 of the family's 1533-position model. The record is from RNAcentral.